GUGUCAGCAGCCGCGGUAACACGUAGGCACCAAGCGUUAUCCGGAUUUAUUGGGCGUAAAGAGCUCGUAGGCGGUUUGGUAAGUCGGGUGUGAAAACUCUGGGCUCAACCCAGAGAGGCCACCCGAUACUGCUAUGACUAGAGUACGGUAGGGGAGCGGGGAAUUCAUGGUGUAGCGGUGAAAUGCGCAGAUAUCAUGAGGAACACCAGCGGCGAAGGCGCCGCUCUGGGCCGUAACUGACGCUGAGGAGCGAAAGCAUGGGUAGCAAACAGGAUUAGAUACCCUGGUAGUCCAUGCCGUAAACGUUGGGCACUAGGUGUGGGUCUCAACCAACGAGAUCCGCGCCGUCGCUAACGCAUUAAGUGCCCCGCCUGGGGAGUACGGUCGCAAGACUAAA
RNAcentral lists this ribosomal RNA (397 nucleotides) under uncultured bacterium. RNAcentral's name for it is "bacterial SSU rRNA". It matches the Rfam family "Bacterial small subunit ribosomal RNA", at positions 505 to 898 of the family's 1533-position model. The record is from RNAcentral.